Molecule: long non-coding RNA, 1076 nt
Filed under: Anser brachyrhynchus (Pink-footed goose)
Lineage: Eukaryota; Metazoa; Chordata; Aves; Anseriformes; Anatidae
Description: lncRNA (ENSABRG00000009892.1)
Source: RNAcentral
UUUUUAUUUCGUUCUAGGGCUCUGGCUUAGGACAAUUACAGAUGCUGAGAGGAAAUCAGAGAUAGUCAUGUUUGGUUGAGUAGUAGCUGUUGGGAGCUCCAGCCCUCCCAGACUUUCCCUGUGCUUGCUUUAGAAAGCUGCUGCAUGCCUUCACUCAGAAGCUUCAUCAGUCCUGUACCAUGCCAGUUCCUGAGGAUUAUGCAGUGUAGAACUUGUUGACUGUUUUGUUCUCAGAGGUGAGUCUUCUAUUACAGUGAGACUGCACACAGAAAUGUGCUCUUCCCUAGAGUGACAUUUCUAGCACAACACCACUUCCUGAAUCUGAAGUCUAUCAUCUAAAGGUUCUUCCCUUUCUGAGUGUUUAGCUUUCUUCUCCCAGUCGUAUCAUGAUGUUGAUGUUGACCUACACUGGAAGAGUGAAUUUGGAAGAAGAAAUACAGCAGCAGAGAGAAAGUGAGAAGUCUGGACAGGUGACUGUCAACAGGAGAAGUAUAAGAUCAUUGGUGAAUGGAAGGAUUGCAAGGGUAAUAAAAACAGGAGAAAAAUGACGACAAACUGCUCCACUUCUAAUGACAUCAGGAGGUUUGAAUCUGACAUUGAUGGGAUACUUUGAGAAGCCACCAUCAAUUCUCUCAAUUCAACCUUCCUUUUUGCCUUCCCUCUGGACUCAGAACACAGGACUGAAGGGAAGAUGUAACAACAGGUAAGCUGUUUGCCCAAGAUUGGAGUAGCAAAUUCAUUUCCAUCUGUAGUCCUGGAAUACUGCCUGACAAGCACAAGAAAAAACGAGUUAAUGUUCCUGUUUUACUAAUUAGCAUAAGGACUCAAGAUUUCUGAGGUUAUGUACUCCACAUGACUUCCAGCGAGUCCGUAAACCUGUUGGAGAGCUUCCAUGAUUUCCAAAGUUAAGUGAAGCACGGUCUACAUUGAAGUUGCCAUCAAUGUAAUUACAUCAAUUUUCUAAAUGUAGAAAGGGCUUUGCUGUCCUUCCAGGAAUUAAUCUUGCAUAGAUCUUCCUUGAGAGAAAACAUGAAACAAACGUGGAGUUUACAGACAUAGGUGGCUUGGUUCUUUCU